This 1286-nucleotide ribosomal RNA is filed under the name metagenome. RNAcentral's name for it is "bacterial SSU rRNA". It matches the Rfam family "Bacterial small subunit ribosomal RNA", at positions 243 to 1520 of the family's 1533-position model. The record is from RNAcentral.
AGCUUGUUGGUGAGGUAAAAGCUCACCAAGGCGACGAUCUGUAGCGGGUCUGAGAGGAUGAUCCGCCACACUGGAACUGAGACGCGGUCCAGACUCCUACGGGAGGCAGCAGUGGGGAAUUUUGGACAAUGGGGGCAACCCUGAUCCAGCCAUGCCGCGUGAGUGAAGAAGGCCUUCGGGUUGUAAAGCUCUUUCAGCCGGGAAGAAAACGCAUGGGUUAAUACCCUGUGUGGAUGACGGUACCGGAAUAAGAAGCACCGGCUAACUACGUGCCAGCAGCCGCGGUAAUACGUAGGGUGCGAGCGUUAAUCGGAAUUACUGGGCGUAAAGCGUGCGCAGGCGGUUUUGUAAGACAGGCGUGAAAUCCCCGGGCUUAACCUGGGAACUGCGUUUGUGACUGCAAGGCUAGAGUACGGCAGAGGGGGGUGGAAUUCCACGUGUAGCAGUGAAAUGCGUAGAGAUGUGGAGGAACACCAAUGGCGAAGGCAGCCCCCUGGGUCGACACUGACGCUCAUGCACGAAAGCGUGGGUAGCAAACAGGAUUAGAUACCCUGGUAGUCCACGCCCUAAACGAUGUCAACUAGGUGUUGGGAGGGUAAAACCUUUUAGUACCGGAGCUAACGCGUGAAGUUGACCGCCUGGGGAGUACGGCCGCAAGGUUAAAACUCAAAGGAAUUGACGGGGACCCGCACAAGCGGUGGAUGAUGUGGAUUAAUUCGAUGCAACGCGAAAAACCUUACCUACCCUUGACAUGCCAAGAACUUUCCAGAGAUGGAUUGGUGCCCGAAAGGGAUCUUGGACACAGGUGCUGCAUGGCUGUCGUCAGCUCGUGUCGUGAGAUGUUGGGUUAAGUCCCGCAACGAGCGCAACCCUUGUCGUUAAUUGCCAUCAUUUAGUUGGGCACUUUAACGAGACUGCCGGUGACAAACCGGAGGAAGGUGGGGAUGACGUCAAGUCCUCAUGGCCCUUAUGGGUAGGGCUUCACACGUCAUACAAUGGUCGGUACAAAGGGUCGCCAAGCCGCGAGGUGGAGCCAAUCCCAGAAAGCCGAUCGUAGUCCGGAUCGCAGUCUGCAACUCGACUGCGUGAAGUCGGAAUCGCUAGUAAUCGUGGAUCAGAAUGUCACGGUGAAUACGUUCCCGGGUCUUGUACACACCGCCCGUCACACCAUGGGAGCGGGUUCCGCCAGAAGUAGGUAGCCUAACCGCAAGGAGGGCGCUUACCACGGCGGGGUUCGUGACUGGGGUGAAGUCGUAACAAGGUAGCCGUAGGGGAACCUGCGGCUG